GGCUAUAAAUAUGUGUUUUCAGCCAUAAUUUUGACCACCACCCCUACCAUAUAUUUUUGCAUCAUUCACCACACACACCUCAUUGUGCCAUAGCUUUGCAAGGAGAUAGGAGAGGAGACCCCUAGAGCUGUGCUUGCCAUUCAAGACGUUGGAGUGUUGGAGCGUUUCUAGGUGUAUUCUAUCUUUGAUUUCAAUGUUUAAUUUAAGUUAUCUUUGUUUAAUUGCGAAUAUGUGGAACUAAUUUCUUUAUAGUUGGAGGUGAAUUCGAAGCCAUGAUUAUAUGCUUAAUAUGAAUUGAUUACAUCUAGUUAUUGUUUCUAAAGUCUUGAAUGUGAUUUGCUUAUCUGAGUUAUUAAAACUUGUUUAUGUAUGUUAAUUGAGGGUGCACACUUAGUUUGCAUGCAUGAACUUGAUGCUAGAGUAUAGGGGAGUUUCACCUAAUUGUUAUGAACUUAUAUUCACAAGUAGUAGAGGUUGCUAGUCACGAUCGUGUUAAGUGAAUCCUUGGCAGGAGUAUCAUGCUUUUCAUAGUUACGAAUGCCUCGUUAAUGCUUAUGGUUUUCAAAGAACUUAAUGACCUUUGAUAUAUUUUCUAUCAUGCUUUUCAUAGUUAGGGAACUUGAUAAGGAUAAUUUGGUUGUGAGGUGUAUCCCGUCCAAUUCAAUGAAAUAAGGAAAAUCUUAUGGUUAAUUUGUGCUAUCACAGUUAACUUGGGGUGUUGUCAUUCAUAGUCUAAAGGAAUAAUAACUGGAAAUUGGUUUUUUUGCAUAUGUCAUGUGUGGAGAAGGGCCCUCUAACUAGUCAUUCACCCAUUUAAUUCACCAAUUUCGUCCAAAGUAUUUAGAGUCUUUAAUUCUGUUUAGUUUUACUUUAAAUUCAUCAAAAACCCAAUCCCCUUUACUUUGUUGAGUCAAGUUAGUUAAAAUCUGUCUAAUUUGUGUUUUUAAGUGUUUUUAAGUAUUUUAAGUCAAGUUUAAAUUAAUUUUCGUCCCCUCUAGUGUCUAGUUUGAGUCUAUUUGAUUGUUUUGUGCUGUUUUGAGUCUUUUUAGUUUGUUUUGAGUUCUUUAAGUCUAGUUUUGUGUUUUUGAGUCAUAUUUGUGUAGAUUAGUAACCCAAGUUAAUCCUUAGCCUAGAACGAUCCUUACUUUCAUAUACUACAACUAUCUUAAUAGGGUUUAAUUUGUGUGUUAGAAUAUUUCACAUCAAAUUUUGGCACCGUUGUCGGGGAUUAGCAAAAUUGCUAAUCUCCCUUUGUUUCUGUUCGUGUCUUUUACUUUUGAUAUUUGAUUUAGUUUUCUUUCUUUGAUUUAAGGUACUAGAGAAGCAAGAUAUGGCAAUUGCUAACAUUCAAGCUCAAAUAGCGAAUCUUACUUCUCAAUUGUCGCAGUAUGCCGAAAGGACCACAAGGCAAAGUGUCCCUAUAUUUAGUGCGUCUUAUAGCUAAGAAUAUCAAGCAAAACAACGUCCACAAAGAGAUUUGAGUGAUCAUUCAAACUCUAUGUGGUGGGAAUCUCAACAAGUUCAACACGAAGGAUAUUGGCAGCCAUAUGAGGAGUUUUAUUCAAGCCCUACGCAGCCACCACAACCUCAUAUACAAUAUGCCCAACCAAACUCAAGUUCGUCAAUAGAUUGUGAUCAAAUUCUUGAUGAAUUAAUUUCUUUGGUGCAGGGCUCACAAAAUCAAGUCAAGAAGGCUCAAUAAGGAGAAUAUUGGUAGCCAUAUGAGGAGUUCUAUACAACGCCUAUGCAGCCACCACAACCUGCCCUGCAACAAUUCCAACCAAAUUCAGGUUCGUUAAUAUAUUGCGCUCAAAUUCUUGAUUUACUAACUUUUUUGGUGCAGGAAUCACAAAAUCAAGCCCAAGUGAUGAGCAAAUUGAAGAAUCAACUGGGAGAGAUCAUAGAAUUCAU
RNAcentral lists this long non-coding RNA (1911 nucleotides) under Malus domestica (apple). RNAcentral describes it as "long non-coding RNA (MDOM_LNC017459)". Lineage: Eukaryota; Viridiplantae; Streptophyta; Magnoliopsida; Rosales; Rosaceae. The record is from RNAcentral.